GUUACACCCGUCCCUAGGGACGAAACAGAACUUCAGCUUCGGGUUUCCAGCCCUCAAACAGUUAAGUGACUUCCUGCAAACGCUACAGUCCCAGCAACCAGCCUUCCAAUCAAAAAAUUCACAGGAGCUGGCCAUGAUGGUGCACACCUGAAGUCCUAGUACUUAGAAGGAUGGAGCAUUUGAGGAGGCCAGCCUGGGGGUAACCUGGGCUCCAGAGUGAGAUCCUGCCUCAAGAAAGAAAAGAAAGGAGAAGGAAGAAAAAAAGGGAAGGAGGGAGGGGGGGAUUGAGUUUGCCUAAUUUGUGAUCAUUUUUCUAGAAUAAACUGUCCCUAGGA
Molecule: long non-coding RNA, 335 nt
Organism: Peromyscus californicus insignis
Lineage: Eukaryota; Metazoa; Chordata; Mammalia; Rodentia; Cricetidae
Exons: 2
Source: RefSeq, a predicted model, not a curated record